RNAcentral lists this ribosomal RNA (837 nucleotides) under Triticum aestivum (bread wheat). RNAcentral describes it as "partial small subunit ribosomal RNA". The record is from RNAcentral. Lineage: Eukaryota; Viridiplantae; Streptophyta; Magnoliopsida; Poales; Poaceae.
AUGUACCGCCGCUGUGACACUGAAGGGAACACAACACUUCACUGCUGCCUCAGUAGUAGCUCAAGCACACAAGAGCCAAGGACUGAGUGGCUCCUGCUGAAGAAUGGUGCCAGAGUUUUCCAGGGGAACAAACUAGAUCUCACACCAGUGCACAUCGAUGCAGCUAAGAUGAAUUACAAGGCUGUUCAGAGUUCAAGUGAAGAGACGGGUUGGACGAACGAGAUGAGUAAAGACAACAACGUCCCCCGCACCGUCGUGGAGGACGACAGCGGCCUUCUCCUCUGGGCAGGGCAUAUCUCCAGGAAGUUGGCCUCUUCCUUGACCUACUGCAGACUGGCAGCAAUUUUUCUGCUACUUCUGCUACUGUCUUCCUCGCAAGCAUCUGCGACAUGUGAGCAACCGUCUUCACCACCAGCGGCACGCCUAGAGCCCCCGCCUCCACCAACAACUACCGGCGAGCUGCCGCCGCCUCCACCAGAAGCUGGUCUCGAGGCUCCACCUCCACCUGCAGCAAAUCUUGAGGUGCCACCGCCGCCGCCUCCAGCCGGGGCCGGCAUCCCCCCGCCUCCACCAGCGACUAUGGUCGAGUCGCCGGCGCCUCCAGCAGGAGCCGCCGUGGUGGUGCCGGCCGGGACAGCGGUGGUGCUGCCGUCGCCUGUAGCCGGGGUUAUCGUGUCGAGGGACACCAAAGAGGACCGCCUCUUUAAGUGGCUUUUCGUUGGUUUAUUCCUCGUCCUCCUAUUCUCUCUUGUGUUAGCACUGGUUAUUAUGAUAGUAGGGCCGUGCACAUUCCGGCUGCGCAUCUCUCUAAUGUGUUUUUCGUGCUCACUGGAAUGA